This 377-nucleotide long non-coding RNA is filed under the name Ananas comosus (pineapple). Its description in RNAcentral is "long non-coding RNA (ACOM_LNC027185)". Lineage: Eukaryota; Viridiplantae; Streptophyta; Magnoliopsida; Poales; Bromeliaceae. The record is from RNAcentral.
UUCUUGUAGCCGGUUCUUCUAUCGCCGUUUCUUCUUUCGUUCUAACUGUUUGUGGUGCCGGAAUCAAACGAUGGAUUUCUUCACUCACCGCCGCUUCUUCCAUCGUCUUUUCAUCUUCUUUCGUCACCAUUUUCGAUUUUGGAUUAAUCCACCAUGAGUGGAGCGUUUCACAGCAGCGCUUCCUAUACGCUAACGCCUGUACAUUCAGCUAUACAAUAACACAUCUAACAUCCAUUUUUCCCUGUAUCUGAUAAAUAACCCAAUCUUUUUUUUCUUGUAAACUAUAAAAUUUUUAUACUUUUUUUUAAAUUUUAUCUACCCGUAAUCCUAGCCGACAUUAACUAUUUUUUUAAUUAACAUAACUUUUUUUCCCUCAA